GUGGGGAAUAUUGGACAAUGGGCGCAAGCCUGAUCCAGCCAUGCCGCGUGAGUGAUGAAGGCCUUAGGGUUGUAAAGCUCUUUUGUCCGGGAAGAUAAUGACUGUACCGGAAGAAUAAGCCCCGGCUAACUUCGUGCCAGCAGCCGCGGUAAUACGAAGGGGGCUAGCGUUGCUCGGAAUCACUGGGCGUAAAGGGCGCGUAGGCGGACUUUUAAGUCGGGGGUGAAAGCCCAGGGCUCAACCCUGGAAUUGCCUUCGAUACUGGGAGUCUUGAGUUCGGAAGAGGUUGGUGGAACUGCGAGUGUAGAGGUGAAAUUCGUAGAUAUUCGCAAGAACACCAGUGGCGAAGGCGGCCAACUGGUCCGAUACUGACGCUGAGGCGCGAAAGCGUGGGGAGCAAACAGGAUUAGAAACCCUAGUAGUCC
This 425-nucleotide ribosomal RNA is filed under the name uncultured bacterium. RNAcentral describes it as "partial 16S ribosomal RNA". It matches the Rfam family "Bacterial small subunit ribosomal RNA", at positions 354 to 796 of the family's 1533-position model. The record is from RNAcentral.